CCUAAAGGCGUAAUGAAAGUGAAGGUUGUCAUUGCGAUAACUAAGGGAGGAUGAGUUGCGUUACGAUGCAUCUCCKCACUCCCGGGGCGUCUCAUUCUUAUUUAUAAGGAGAGGCGCACCUAGAGCGUACACGUUGGGACCCGAAAGAUGGUGAACUAUGCCUGGUCAGGACGAAGUCAGGGGAAACCYUGAUGGAGGUCCGUAGCGAUUCUGACGUGCAAAUCGAUCGUCGGAACUGGGUAUAGGGGCGAAAGACUAAUCKAACCAUCUAGUAGCUGGUUCCCUCCGAAGUUUCCCUCAGGAUAGCUGGCACUUAUGNAGUUCUAUGAACUAAUACGAGUCUCAUCUGGUAAAGCGAAUGAUUAGAGGCAUUGGGGCCGAAACGACCUCAACCUAUUCUCAAACUUUAAAUGGGUGAGAUMUYUGGCUUGCUUGAAUAUAUGAAGCUAUGARAUAUUAUUAUUGGAUCAAAGUGCCAAGUGG
This 483-nucleotide ribosomal RNA is filed under the name Diospilini gen. sp. 3 BJS-2011. RNAcentral's name for it is "eukaryotic LSU rRNA". It matches the Rfam family "Eukaryotic large subunit ribosomal RNA", at positions 707 to 1129 of the family's 3401-position model. Lineage: Eukaryota; Metazoa; Arthropoda; Insecta; Hymenoptera; Braconidae. The record is from RNAcentral.